Molecule: long non-coding RNA, 252 nt
Filed under: Lathyrus oleraceus (garden pea)
Lineage: Eukaryota; Viridiplantae; Streptophyta; Magnoliopsida; Fabales; Fabaceae
Description: Pisum sativum (pea) long non-coding RNA (PSAT_LNC008847)
Source: RNAcentral
CUUUUUUGUUUAAAACUCAUUACAAGCCGAGAAGUGAAAAACAAUAUUAUCACCCUAUUCAAAGGGUUGAAAGAGUCUUGUUUGGAGUUGUGUGGGGUUGAAUAAUUAUGUUUGUAAUAUUUCAGAUAACUCAUUACAAGCCGAGAAGUGAAAAACAAUAUUAUCACCCUAUUCAAAGGGUUGAAAGAGUCUUGUUUGGAGUUGUGUGGGGUUGAAUAAUUAUGUUUGUAAUAUUUCAGAAGAUGGCAGAAA